UACGGAGGUUCCAAGCGUUGUUCGGAAUUACUGGGCGUAAAGGGAGCGCAGGCGGACGGCCCAGUCCAAAGUGGAAUCCCGGGGCUUAACCCCGGAAGGGCUUUGGAUACUAGCCGUCUUGAGUUCGCGAGAGGAAGGCGGAAUUCAGGGUGUAGCGGUGAAAUGCUUAGAUAUCCUGAGGAACACCUGUGGCGAAAGCGGCCUUCUGGCGCGACACUGACGCUGAGGCUCGAAAGCGUGGGGAG
This 245-nucleotide ribosomal RNA is filed under the name uncultured bacterium. RNAcentral describes it as "partial 16S ribosomal RNA". It matches the Rfam family "Bacterial small subunit ribosomal RNA", at positions 524 to 768 of the family's 1533-position model. The record is from RNAcentral.